Oncorhynchus nerka (sockeye salmon) is the source of this 684-nucleotide long non-coding RNA. RefSeq lists it as uncharacterized. The transcript has 5 exons. The record is from RefSeq and is a predicted model, not a curated record. Lineage: Eukaryota; Metazoa; Chordata; Actinopteri; Salmoniformes; Salmonidae.
CUGUCCAGUGAGCAGAGGUUGAGGUUGCGCAAAGUCAAAAUAUAACAGACACUUUUUUCCUGCUUUUUCAGAUGCCUCGGGGGGAGAGGAGGAGAGAGAACCGGAGAAAGAGGAGGAGAAACAGCCCACAGGAGAAGAAAGGAAAGAAGAGGAAACAGGAACCCGUUCCGGCUAAGAAGAAGACUGCACUGAAAUCCCAGGAGUGAUUUAUGGCUCAGGAGAAGAAAGUUGAUGAGGGCGAGAAAAAGACCAAGAACAAGAGAUAGGUAGAGGAGCAGCUGAAGCUUGAGGUGACAUGCAUUGGGGAGGGAACACCAGGGAGACUGAAAGCCCUCCUAGGGAAAGGUGGGCACUCAUUUACUACCCCUCAGGGUUUUAACCCCAGUUUGGCCUUGCCAGCGCUGCGCUUCCUGCUUCUGAACUGGAAUUGGAGGGACCAGAAGCCUCGCAUGAUGGUGGACAUCCCUGAUGUCCAAACUGAUUUGCUGAAGCUGCUGGAUACAGGCAUCUUGAAAGGCUGUAGAGAAGGAAACACAAACACACACCCAACCAUUUCGAACUGGACCUCUUCUGCUCUCACACAAACACCACAGUUAUUGUAGUAAACAAAAACUGAAACAAAAAUUGGGAAAACAAUUGCAAAACAGACUGAAAAACAAAAUAAAAUAAAAUAAAUAACAAUUA